This is a long non-coding RNA of Oncorhynchus keta (chum salmon), 1250 nucleotides long. RefSeq lists it as uncharacterized. NCBI's taxonomy places the organism in Eukaryota, Metazoa, Chordata, Actinopteri, Salmoniformes, Salmonidae. The transcript has 4 exons. The record is from RefSeq and is a predicted model, not a curated record.
CAACAGUGGUUUAUUUAACCACAGAUACAGUUCAUUGCAGACAUUUGCACCGUAGGUUUCUUUACAAUUCACCUCAACGCUACAGAGAACAAGCUUUUGGACUUUAUGCAGACGAAGCCUUGAGUUAAAUAGAAGAAAAAAAGCUCAGGUGGAGUGGUCAUUUUUCUGUUCUUAAUACUGGAGUACAACACUGCCGAUUACCAUAGUGGGGUCAACCACCUUCAAUGUAUGAUACAGUUAAAGAAACAAACUCACUGUUUAAGUCCCUGAAAAAUUGUAUUUUUAUUUCUAAUGGACCGGUAUUAUGACCUGUAAAAGUAUUUUUGUACAAAUUUAAUACUUUGGUAGCAUGAUAUUUAUCGUCUAUGUAUAACUUUGGGAAUUCCUCCAGCUGUAAACCUUUGUAUGGCCGAGAAAAGAGAAACAAUAAAAAAAGAUUUACAGAGUGGAAAAACAACAUGGCUGAGGUAAUUUACAGAGUGAAUAAACAACACCAUGGCUGAGGUGAUUUACAGAGUGAAUAAACAACAACAUGGCUGAGGUGAUUUACAGAGUGAAUAAACAACAACAUGGCUGAGGUGAUUUACAGAGUGAAUAAACAACAUGGCUGAGGUGAUUUACAGAGUGAAUAAACAACAUGGCUGAGGUGAUUUACAGAGUGGAAAAAUAAACAACAUGGCUGAGGUGAUUUACAGAGUGAAUAAACAACAUGGCUGAGGUGAUUUACAGAGUGAAUAAACAACAUGGCUGAGGUGAUUUACAGAGUGAAUAAACAACACCAUGGCUGAGGUGAUUUACAGAGUGAAUAAACAACACCAUGGCUGAGGUGAUUUACAGAGUGAAUAAACAACACCAUGGCUGAGGUGAUUUACAGAGUGAAUAAACAACACCAUGGCUGAGGUGAUUUACAGAGUGAAUAAACAACAUGGCUGAGGUGAUUUACAGAGUGAAUAAACAACAUGGCUGAGGUGAUUUACAGAGUGAAUAAACAACAUGGCUGAGGUGAUUUACAGAGUGAAUAAACAACAUGGCUGAGGUGAUUUACAGAGUGAAUAAACAACAUGGCUGAGGUGAUUUACAGAGUGAAUAAACAACACCAUGGCUGAGGUGAUUUACAGAGUGAAUAAACAACAUGGCUGAGGUGAUUUACAGAGUGGAAAAAUAAACAACAUGGCUGAGGUGAUUGCAACAUACUGAUGAAAGGAUCACAAUCUCAUCUGAGGCACUUGAUCAAUAAAAUGAUACAAGCC